AUUGAACGCUGGCGGCAUGCUUUACACAUGCAAGUCGAACGGUAACAGGGAGCUUGCUCCGCUGACGAGUGGCGAACGGGUGAGUAAUGCAUCGGAACGUGCCUAUUUGUGGGGGAUAACGUAGCGAAAGUUACGCUAAUACCGCAUACGCCCUGAGGGGGAAAGCGGGGGAUUCGUAAGAACCUCGCGCAAUUAGAGCGGCCGAUGUCGGAUUAGCUAGUUGGUGGGGUAAAGGCUCACCAAGGCGACGAUCCGUAGCGGGUCUGAGAGGAUGAUCCGCCACACUGGGACUGAGACACGGCCCAGACUCCUACGGGAGGCAGCAGUGGGGAAUUUUGGACAAUGGGCGAAAGCCUGAUCCAGCCAUGCCGCGUGAGUGAAGAAGGCCUCGGUUGUAAG
Molecule: ribosomal RNA, 399 nt
Filed under: uncultured bacterium
Lineage: Bacteria
Description: bacterial SSU rRNA
Rfam family: Bacterial small subunit ribosomal RNA
Source: RNAcentral